UACGAAGGGGGCUAGCGUUGUUCGGAUUUACUGGGCGUAAAGCGCGCGUAGGCGGAUCGCAAAGUUGGGGGUGAAAGCCCAGGGCUCAACCCUGGAAUUGCCUUCAAGACUCGCGGUCUGGAGUUCGAGAGAGGUGGGUGGAAUUCCGAGUGUAGAGGUGAAAUUCGUAGAUAUUCGGAGGAACACCAGUGGCGAAGGCGGCCCACUGGCUCGACACUGACGCUGAGGCGCGAAAGCGCGGGGAGCAAACAGG
This 253-nucleotide ribosomal RNA is filed under the name uncultured bacterium. RNAcentral's name for it is "partial 16S ribosomal RNA". It matches the Rfam family "Bacterial small subunit ribosomal RNA", at positions 524 to 776 of the family's 1533-position model. The record is from RNAcentral.